Molecule: long non-coding RNA, 1547 nt
Filed under: Marmota monax (woodchuck)
Lineage: Eukaryota; Metazoa; Chordata; Mammalia; Rodentia; Sciuridae
Source: RNAcentral
UAGGUAAUGGAUUAUUCUUUCCUCCUAAAAGAAAUAGAAAACUGAAUAUAAAAUCCUUAUGAUUAUGUGGAUAGAUAUGUAAAUGAUUAAAAUUAAAUAUUUUCAGUCAGUAGUACUCAAACAUAUCAGUGGUCAUGUUUGAAUUAAUGAAUCAAAAACUUCUGACCAAAUAGCCCAGAAGAUCAUCUCAGAUACAUAUACCUUUCAGUGAGUUCAUGCCCUGCAUUAGAUGCUUUCAGAUUGUUUUAUGGUACUCACUUCAGUUAUAAUGAGAUUAUAAGUAAAUGCCAUCAAUGUAGUUCAUUUUUUCAGAAGACUGAAAUGUCUUCAAUCAGAGGUGCAGAUCUCACUGUGCUCCAGUUGAGUGAAUGGAUGACAAAAUGAGACUUAUUCAAGACCAAAUGGCAAGCAGGUUUGCAUCCCAAGACUGUGAUUACCUGACAAAAGCCUAUUUGAUGCACGUGUAGGAUUUCCUACUACUUUAAAUGACAAAUUUUAGCCUUUACAGUACUGCUGGGCUCUCAAACUUUCGAAAAGGCACUGUGGUUUCUUUCCUUAACCGCAGCUUGGGACUUAUUGAUUUAGAGCCCGUGGCCACAUUAACAAAUUAUUACUCCCGCCUGAUUCUGAUCACCAGGGGAUUGCAGUUUUCUUGUCCCCAAAUCCUCAGCACAGCACUGGCAUUUUGGAGCUCAGCCCAGGAAAGCCAACUCCAGGUGUGAGGCUUCAGCCAGCAUUCCCCCAGUGCAGAAAAAAACAGUAAUUUCCUCACAUUUCUAAACAGCUGUUUCAGUCCCAAAAUGAGCAAAAUAAAAAUAUAAAAUUCAUUCAAGAUUGCUUUAAUUUUGGUGUUUUAGCACAAUGCAACUGCAAAAUUACCUCCAAAUAAUUACAUAAAGAGGUAAGUAAGAAAUAAUUUAUUGACACAUCACUACUGAGCAGCUUUCUCCCAGCAAUUUAAAUAUGCCACACCAAAAGAUGGCAAAUAUGUCUGCAGUAUACUGUGUACUCUUCCUGCAUUUCUUUUAAUAUCUCAGGGCUCCACUGCCUCUUUCUUCAGUUCCCUAGUUACCGUCUGUCAAACUGGAAUUUCACAAUUUUUCUACAUAUGGAUAGUUAAAUCCAGGUUGCUUUUAUUGUAAAGUGGUUUGGCCUUCAGAGAUAAUCCAGUCUGUGUAGAAUCAUGCUAACUUUUUUGUUUUGUUAGUAUCUAAGUUCUAUUUGAUUUUUCAGGUAUUUCUUCAUAUUGACUCAUAUUUUCUGACUUAGUAGUUUGAAUGCUACUUUUGUCAUCUUUCUAAAUCAGUUAAAAUAUACCCAUUAUCUUAAGUAGACUUGAUGAAUUAUAAAAUUCUCACUCGUGCAUAUCCUGUUUUCUAGACAAUUGAUGUAUCAUUCCAGUAUGACAAAUACUUUAGUCAUUCUCACUUUAUUGUGCACAUUAAUUCAUCUCGCAUUAGAAGAACAUUAAGUAUUAUGGACAUGAAUCAUGCUAUGACUGCAUAAAACUUGUUUUAAGAAAACAACAAUACCUAUAUCUAUGUGGC